GAUGAACGCUGGCGGCGUGCCUAAUACAUGCAAGUCGAGCGAAUGGAUUAAGAGCUUGCUCUUAUGAAGUUAGCGGCGGACGGGUGAGUAACACGUGGGUAACCUGCCCAUAAGACUGUGAUAACUCCGGGAAACCGGGGCUAAUACCGGAUAACAUUUUGAACCGCAUGGUUCGAAAUUGAAAGGCGGCUUCGGCUGUCACUUAUGGAUGGACCCGCGUCGCAUUAGCUAGUUGGUGAGGUAACGGCUCACCAAGGCAACGAGGCGUAGCCGACCGGAGGGGGUGAUCGGCCACACGGGGACUUAGCACCGGCCCAGACGACUACGGGAGGCAGCAGUAGGGAAUCUUCCGCAAUGGACGAAAGUCUGACGGAGCAACGCCGCGUGAGUGAUGAAGGCUUUCGGGUCGUAAAACUCUGUUGUUAGGGAAGAACAAGUGCUAGUUGAAUAAGCUGGCACCUUGACGGUACCUAACCAGAAAGCCACGGCUAACUACGUGCCAGCAGCCGCCGUAA
RNAcentral lists this ribosomal RNA (515 nucleotides) under uncultured bacterium. Its description in RNAcentral is "partial 16S ribosomal RNA". It matches the Rfam family "Bacterial small subunit ribosomal RNA", at positions 28 to 523 of the family's 1533-position model. The record is from RNAcentral.